Molecule: transfer RNA, 67 nt
Filed under: Arisubathynella cheongmiensis
Lineage: Eukaryota; Metazoa; Arthropoda; Malacostraca; Bathynellacea; Parabathynellidae
Description: tRNA-Tyr
Rfam family: tRNA
About the family: Transfer RNA (tRNA) molecules are approximately 80 nucleotides in length.
Source: RNAcentral
AAUAAUAUAGCUUAUAAAUAAAGCAAUAACCUGUAAAGUUAUAUAUGAAAUAUAAUUUCUUUUAUUA